This 1477-nucleotide ribosomal RNA is filed under the name uncultured organism. RNAcentral's name for it is "SSU rRNA". It matches the Rfam family "Bacterial small subunit ribosomal RNA". The record is from RNAcentral.
GCUGGCGGCGUGCCUAAUACAUGCAAGUCGAGCGAGCGGAACUAACAGAUUUACUUCGGUAAUGACGUUAGGAAAGCGAGCGGCGGAUGGGUGAGUAACACGUGGGGAACCUGCCCCAUAGUCUGGGAUACCACUUGGAAACAGGUGCUAAUACCGGAUAAGAAAGCAGAUCGCAUGAUCAGCUUUUAAAAGGCGGCGUAAGCUGUCGCUAUGGGAUGGCCCCGCGGUGCAUUAGCUAGUUGGUAAGGUAAAGGCUUACCAAGGCGAUGAUGCAUAGCCGAGUUGAGAGACUGAUCGGCCACAUUGGGACUGAGACACGGCCCAAACUCCUACGGGAGGCAGCAGUAGGGAAUCUUCCACAAUGGACGCAAGUCUGAUGGAGCAACGCCGCGUGAGUGAAGAAGGUUUUCGGAUCGUAAAGCUCUGUUGUUGGUGAAGAAGGAUAGAGGUAGUAACUGGCCUUUAUUUGACGGUAAUCAACCAGAAAGUCACGGCUAACUACGUGCCAGCAGCCGCGGUAAUACGUAGGUGGCAAGCGUUGUCCGGAUUUAUUGGGCGUAAAGCGAGCGCAGGCGGAAGAAUAAGUCUGAUGUGAAAGCCCUCGGCUUAACCGAGGAACUGCAUCGGAAACUGUUUUUCUUGAGUGCAGAAGAGGAGAGUGGAACUCCAUGUGUAGCGGUGGAAUGCGUAGAUAUAUGGAAGAACACCAGUGGCGAAGGCGGCUCUCUGGUCUGCAACUGACGCUGAGGCUCGAAAGCAUGGGUAGCGAACAGGAUUAGAUACCCUGGUAGUCCAUGCCGUAAACGAUGAGUGCUAAGUGUUGGGAGGUUUCCGCCUCUCAGUGCUGCAGCUAACGCAUUAAGCACUCCGCCUGGGGAGUACGACCGCAAGGUUGAAACUCAAAGGAAUUGACGGGGGCCCGCACAAGCGGUGGAGCAUGUGGUUUAAUUCGAAGCAACGCGAAGAACCUUACCAGGUCUUGACAUCUAGUGUCAUUUGUAGAGAUACAAAGUUCCCUUCGGGGACGCUAAGACAGGUGGUGCAUGGCUGUCGUCAGCUCGUGUCGUGAGAUGUUGGGUUAAGUCCCGCAACGAGCGCAACCCUUGUUAUUAGUUGCCAGCAUUAAGUUGGGCACUCUAAUGAGACUGCCGGUGACAAACCGGAGGAAGGUGGGGAUGACGUCAAGUCAUCAUGCCCCUUAUGACCUGGGCUACACACGUGCUACAAUGGGCAGUACAACGAGAAGCGAGCCUGCGAAGGCAAGCGAAUCUCUGAAAGCUGUUCUCAGUUCGGACUGCAGUCUGCAACUCGACUGCACGAAGCUGGAAUCGCUAGUAAUCGCGGAUCAGCACGCCGCGGUGAAUACGUUCCCGGGCCUUGUACACACCGCCCGUCACACCAUGGGAGUCUGCAAUGCCCAAAGCCGGUGGCCUAACCUUCGGGAAGGAGCCGUCUAAGGCAGGGCAGAUGACUGGGG